Molecule: long non-coding RNA, 283 nt
Filed under: Homo sapiens (human)
Lineage: Eukaryota; Metazoa; Chordata; Mammalia; Primates; Hominidae
Description: HSALNT0274097
Source: RNAcentral
CCCAAAUAGGAGGCAUCAGAUAAGAGUGAAGCCAAGCCUGGCACUCCGAGGGGCAGGUGGGAGCUGGAGAUGCCUCGAGAAGCCCCUUUGGCAUCUGGACCCGACUCGGCCCCGGGCCGUCCUCUGGGGGCUCUCUGAUCCAUUGUCUGAGGACACAUGGUGGACUCACCACAGGGACUGAGGCUGAAUCACAAACUCCAGACCCCAGCAAGGACCUGGAGCAUCCUGGGUGUCCUGGCAUCCAGCUGAUGACCUCAGCCAUCAACACCUGGGAGAUUCCAGA